UUGUUCGGAAUUACUGGGCGUAAAGGGCUCGUAGGCGGCCAACUAAGUCAGACGUGAAAUCCCUCGGCUUAACCGGGGAACUGCGUCUGAUACUGGAUGGCUUGAGUUUGGGAGAGGGAUGCGGAAUUCCAGGUGUAGCGGUGAAAUGCGUAGAUAUCUGGAGGAACACCGGUGGCGAAGGCGGCAUCCUGGACCAACACUGACGCUGAGGAGCGAAAGCCAGGGGAGCAAACGGG
This 236-nucleotide ribosomal RNA is filed under the name uncultured bacterium. RNAcentral describes it as "partial 16S ribosomal RNA". It matches the Rfam family "Bacterial small subunit ribosomal RNA", at positions 541 to 776 of the family's 1533-position model. The record is from RNAcentral.